CAUCAUGCUUGAUCUUAUAUAUCCAUCUUACUCCAAUAGCUUUGUAACACUGCAAUAUUCCCACAUCGGAUGGGAUACUGAUUUCGAUCAGUUUAUAUGAGGCCUACACACUAGUAAUAAUAACUGGGCUUAAGAAUUUUGGGCCGAUGGUUUGGGCACAACGAGUUAUUAUUGCUAGCGGGUCGGGUCGUUACAUUUGGUAUCAGAGCCGAAUACCAGCCGGAAGUGUAAGAGCUAAGU
RNAcentral lists this long non-coding RNA (240 nucleotides) under Ananas comosus (pineapple). RNAcentral's name for it is "long non-coding RNA (ACOM_LNC024124)". Lineage: Eukaryota; Viridiplantae; Streptophyta; Magnoliopsida; Poales; Bromeliaceae. The record is from RNAcentral.